UGAGCAAUCUGCCCUUCACAUCGGAAUAACCAUUGGAAACGAUGGCUAAUACCGAAUAUGACUUCGGAUCGCAUGAUCUGAAGUGGAAAGCUCCGGCGGUGAAGGAUGAGCUCGCGGCCUAUCAGCUUGUUGGUGAGGUAAUGCUCACCAAGGCGAUGGACGGGUAGCCGGCUGGAGGAGGGUCGACCCGGCCACACGUGGGACUGGAACGACCGACCCGGNACGUACCG
Molecule: ribosomal RNA, 230 nt
Filed under: uncultured bacterium
Lineage: Bacteria
Description: partial 16S ribosomal RNA
Rfam family: Bacterial small subunit ribosomal RNA (bases 1-195)
Source: RNAcentral